UUGGGAAUAUUGGACAAUGGAGGAAACUCUGAUCCAGUGACGCCGCGUGAAGGAAGAAGGUCUUCGGAUUGUAAACUUAUUUUAUCAGGGAAGAAAAAAAUGACUGUACCUGAAGAAGAAGCACCGGCUAACUACGUGCCAGCAGCCGCGGUAAUACGUAGGGUGCAAGCGUUAUCCGGAUUUACUGGGUGUAAAGGGCGAGUAGACGGCGUUGCAAGUCAGAUGUGAAAGGCUAGGGCUCAACCUUAGGAGAGCAUCUGAAACUGUAAUGCUAGAGUGCAGGAGAGGUAAGCGGAAUUCCUA
Molecule: ribosomal RNA, 303 nt
Filed under: uncultured bacterium
Lineage: Bacteria
Description: bacterial SSU rRNA
Rfam family: Bacterial small subunit ribosomal RNA
Source: RNAcentral